UACGUAGGGUGCGAGCGUUAAUCGGAAUUACUGGGCGUAAAGCGUGCGCAGGCGGUUUUGUAAGCCAGAUGUGAAAUCCCCGGGCUUAACCUGGGAAUGGCAUUUGGGACUGCAAGGCUUGAGUGCGGCAGAGGAGACUGGAAUUCCUGGUGUAGCAGUGAAAUGCGUAGAUAUCAGGAGGAAUACCGACGGCGAAGGCAGGUCUCUGGGCUGACACUGACGCUCAUGCACGAAAGCGUGGGGAGCAAACAGG
RNAcentral lists this ribosomal RNA (253 nucleotides) under uncultured bacterium. Its description in RNAcentral is "partial 16S ribosomal RNA". It matches the Rfam family "Bacterial small subunit ribosomal RNA", at positions 524 to 776 of the family's 1533-position model. The record is from RNAcentral.